This 312-nucleotide long non-coding RNA is filed under the name Elaeis guineensis (African oil palm). Its description in RNAcentral is "long non-coding RNA (EGUI_LNC039525)". Lineage: Eukaryota; Viridiplantae; Streptophyta; Magnoliopsida; Arecales; Arecaceae. The record is from RNAcentral.
UUGCACCAUAUCCAGAUCCAUUUCAAUUUCUCCAUGCCUAAUUGGAUUUGGAUUGUGAUUUUUGGCAUCAUGAGAAAGACUAAUAAGGGUGGUCGGCUAUAGCUGAUGAGUCAUAAUAUUAUCUCUUGUCUAAUUCGAAUGAUAUUCGAAUUAGAGAUAAGAUGUAGACUAGGAAAGAGAUUUUUUAUAUAUGGUAUAUUUUUGGAGCCAUAUUAUUUUUUUCUUUUUUUUUUUGAGGAGUCCUUUGGUAUGUGAGUCUCUAGAUUUCUUUUCCACAUCUUAAUAAUUUUUUUGAAAUUUUUGGAGAUGCCA